Molecule: ribosomal RNA, 265 nt
Filed under: uncultured prokaryote
Description: partial 16S ribosomal RNA
Rfam family: Bacterial small subunit ribosomal RNA
Source: RNAcentral
UACGGAGGAUCCGAGCGUUAUCCGGAAUCAUUGGGUUUAAAGGGUCCGUAGGCGGGUUAGUAAGUCAGUGGUGAAAUCCGGCAGCUUAACUGUCGAAUUGCCGUUGAUACUGCUAAUCUUGAAUUACUGUGAAGUGGUUAGAAUAUGUAGUGUAGCGGUGAAAUGCUUAGAUAUUACAUGGAAUACCAAUUGCGAAGGCAGAUCACUAACAGUAUAUUGACGCUGAUGGACGAAAGCGUGGGGAGCAAACAGGAUUAGAUACCCG